Molecule: transfer RNA, 83 nt
Filed under: Salmo salar (Atlantic salmon)
Lineage: Eukaryota; Metazoa; Chordata; Actinopteri; Salmoniformes; Salmonidae
Rfam family: tRNA
About the family: Transfer RNA (tRNA) molecules are approximately 80 nucleotides in length. Their secondary structure includes four short double-helical elements and three loops (D, anti-codon, and T loops).
Source: Rfam by way of RNAcentral
ACCACGAUGGCCGAGAGGUUAAGGCGUUGGACUUAAAAUCCAAUGGACAUAUGUCCUCGUGGGUUCGAACCCCACUCCUGGUA